UGAGAGGUUGAUCGGCCACAUUGGGACUGAGACACGGCCCAAACUCUACGGGAGGCAGCAGUAGGGAAUCUUCCACAAUGGACGCAAGUCUGAUGGAGCAACGCCGCGUGAGUGAAGAAGGCUUUCGGGUCGUAAAACUCUGUUGUUGGAGAAGAAUGGUCGGCAGAGUAACUGUUGUCGGCGUGACGGUAUCCAACCAGAAAGCCACGGCUAACUACGUGCCAGCAGCCGCGGUAAUACGUAGGUGGCAAGCGUUAUCCGGAUUUAUUGGGCGUAAAGCGAGCGCAGGCGGUUUUAUAAGUCUGAUGUGAAAGCCCUCGGCUUAACCGAGGAAGCGCAUCGGAAACUGGGAAACUUGAGUGCAGAAGAGGACAGUGGAACUCCAUGUGUAGCGGUGAAAUGCGUAGAUAUAUGGAAGAACACCAGUGGCGAAGGCGGCUGUCUGGUCUGUAACUGACGCUGAGGCUCGAAAGCAUGGGUAGCGAACAGGAUUAGAUACCCUGGUAGUCCAUGCCGUAAACGAUGAAUGCUAGGUGUUGGAGGGUUUCCGCCCUUCAGUGCCGCAGCUACCGCAUUAAGCAUUCCGCCUGGGGAGUACGACCGCAAGGUUGAAACUCAAAGGAAUUGACGGGGGCCCGCACAAGCGGUGGAGCAUGUGGUUUAAUUCGAAGCAACGCGAAGAACCUUACCAGGUCUUGACAUCUUUUGAUCACCUGAGAGAUCAGGUUUCCCCUUCGGGGGCAAUAUGACAGGUGGUGCAUGGUUGUCGUCAGCUCGUGUCGUGAGAUGUUGGGUUAAGUCCCGCAACGAGCGCAACCCUUAUGACUAGUUGCCAGCAUUGAGUUGGGCACUCUAGUAAGACUGCCGGUGACAAACCGGAGGAAGGUGGGGAUGACGUCAAAUCAUCAUGCCCCUUAUGACCUGGGCUACACACGUGCUACAAUGGAUGGUACAACGAGUUGCGAG
RNAcentral lists this ribosomal RNA (966 nucleotides) under Lacticaseibacillus casei. Its description in RNAcentral is "bacterial SSU rRNA". It matches the Rfam family "Bacterial small subunit ribosomal RNA", at positions 293 to 1253 of the family's 1533-position model. The record is from RNAcentral. Lineage: Bacteria; Bacillati; Bacillota; Bacilli; Lactobacillales; Lactobacillaceae.